AAUGAACGUUGGCGGCGUGGAUUAGGCAUGCAAGUCGAGCGAGAAUCCUCCGCAAGGAGGAGGACAGCGGCGAAAGGGAGAGUAACGCGUGGAUCAUCUACCCUCGGGACCGGGAUAGCCGCGGGAAACUGCGGGUAAUACCGGAUAACGUCCCCGGACUAAAGGUGCGAUUCCGCCUGAGGAUGAGUCCGCGUCCUAUUAGCUAGUUGGUGGGGUAAUGGCCUACCAAGGCGAAGAUGGGUACGGGGUGUGAGAGCAUGCCCCCGCUCACUGGGACUGAGACACUGCCCAGACACCUACGGGAGGCUG
Molecule: ribosomal RNA, 309 nt
Filed under: uncultured Planctomycetota bacterium
Lineage: Bacteria; Pseudomonadati; Planctomycetota
Description: bacterial SSU rRNA
Rfam family: Bacterial small subunit ribosomal RNA
Source: RNAcentral